RNAcentral lists this small RNA (2008 nucleotides) under Oryza sativa Japonica Group (Japanese rice). RNAcentral's name for it is "misc RNA Os04g0598500". The record is from RNAcentral. Lineage: Eukaryota; Viridiplantae; Streptophyta; Magnoliopsida; Poales; Poaceae.
GACUCUCACUAUAGUUGUCAGUGGCAUCCUUGAGUUCUUCCGCACUAAAUAUCUUCGCUGAUGAAUCCUCACCUUGAGAUGUCAUCAUCGAAAAUCUUUGCUGCAGUAGCAAUCCUCCAUUCUUCCUGAAUAACUCAGCUCUGUUUCUUUCCACCUUUCUUUUCUUCAUUGUCAAGUAGUAGCACAACAACACUGUAGCUAGCGUGGCCGUAAGUGCAAGAGCUACACCUGCAGACACUGGAUGAGAAUAUUCACAACUUGUGUUAGUCUUAUUUCUCAAUGAUAUCUUGUGGAAGUAAAAAGAAGUAUAAAAUUGCAAUCAAUAUUAGGAGCCUUUGACCGAACGACUAUUUGUCUGCAGAUUGUAAAUUGUGAUUUGUGCAUGGUUCCGGUUUAUUUAUGAGCUCCGACUUCAAUUCUUUCGUCCAGAAACAAUAUUGAGGUAUUUUUUACAACCUUAACACAUUUUUAAUGUUUAUCGUCAUUAGCUAUGUCUAAUCUAGUUUUGCUAGCUCAACUGAAUCAUUAAUCAUGAAUGCAGUCAAUACACUGGUCAUAUCUAUAUGAUGUUCAAUCAUUCAUGUUAGUAAUGACGUAAUCAUCAGCGGCUAUAUACUGUAGAUUAGCAGUUCUGCACGGGAGAUAUUUUUGACAACUGUAUUAAUAGCAGAGGAAUUAAAAAUAAAAGAGAGAAAAUGAAUGAUCUGAUGUGGAAUGCCGGGUGUUGAGCAUAUUUACCCAAAGCGGUAUAUAAAGGAAACUGCUUUUUGCAGCCACUCCCAUUCUUCUGGCCAUCGCCGAUCAUGCCUUUCGGGCAAACACACGAAGUAACUCCUUGCUCAUCCUUGCAGGAUUUUGAGUACGUGCAAGGGUUCAAUUCUCUGCACACAUCUAGGCCUAAUAAUAGUAAAUUGCAUGCAAUUAGGAGAUGUUUUCCAAAUGAAAAAUGAUUAGGCCGCUACUGGUUCAUUAUUAGAUGUUGUAAACAAGAUUUCGAACGUUCUCCCGGUACAUUGAACAAAUAAUAAUUUCCUGAUUAGAAAGACUGCACUUAAAAUGCUCUUCUGUGUGGUGAACAAAGCACUUUGUUUUAUGAUACCUUGCGGUUGGUUGUGGGUAGGGGCGCCUGCAUGAGAGAGAGAAUAUAUGAUCUUGGUCAGAUCAUCACGCAUUAUUACGAGUAACUAUUGCAGAAUUUUUUUAGAGAAGAAAUAUUACAGCGUAAUCCAGCCAUAUAUAGGAGAUGCAUACAAUAUCAUUUUAGCGUUUCAACCGGAAGAAAUAUAUCAAUUCAUAUUGACAUUUCUUUAAGUAAAAAGGGAACAAAGCUCCUAUCACCCAGGCAAUCCUAAGUUCAUGCAUAGUCACGUUAAAAGGAACAAAAUUCUUACUGUGGUAUUUAUUGGUAGUAGAAUCAAUUUAGACCUUUCAUCUUUUCUCAUCCAAUCAAACAUAAAAGUACCCAGGAAGAACCGUUUAAAAGCUUUUUUUUUUUUUGAGUUUUCCAACUUAUCUCAAAAUUGGUCUAGAAAUAACACGUGGUGAUUAAUAUGGUUGUUUGAACAGAAAUUCUAGAAUAAGUAGGAUUAUAUGCAAUCUAAAAAAAUAUCCCAUUAUCUUAAACAAAAGCAGUCGGAAAAAAUAUAUGGCAUGUAUUUACCAGGUGGCCGAUGGGAGUCAAUGCACCCUGUCCCUGUCCUGUAGCCAUCACCAGUCUUAUUAUUGGGGCAAGAGCAAGUAUAUCCUCCGGGAGUGUUAUGACAGAGUACGCUACAGUUGUUGUAAAUGAGAGACCGGCAUUCGUUGAUAUCUUCAUAAAUAGUGUGAAGCCACAUUGAGAAAGCAGAAAAAUACAGUUCUAUUCAUAGCAGUUAGCUAAGUUCUAUGGUAAUUGAAUUCUGCCAUGAUACAAACAGAAAGAAACUAUAACAAACUGUUUUCACUAGCUAGUGCAUAUUUUUUAGAUCACUGUGUUUAGAAGUAUCUACUAUUUACCUUGGCAGCCGCC